Molecule: microRNA precursor, 181 nt
Filed under: Oryza brachyantha (malo sina)
Lineage: Eukaryota; Viridiplantae; Streptophyta; Magnoliopsida; Poales; Poaceae
Description: MIR812 microRNA precursor family
Rfam family: MIR812 microRNA precursor family
Source: Rfam by way of RNAcentral
AUUAAUCUUUCCGUGUUCAACAUUUGACCAUUCAUCUUAUUUGAAAAAUUUGUAAAAAACUUUAAAAAAAUUAGUCAUAUAUAAAGUACUAUUCAUAUUUUAUCAUCUAGUAAUAAUAAAAAUAUUAAUCGCAAAAAAUUUUUAAAUAAGAUGAAUGAUCAAACGUUGGACACGGAAAAAC